AUUGAACGCUGGCGGCAUGCUUUACACAUGCAAGUCGAACGGCAGCACGGGUGCUUGCACCUGGUGGCGAGUGGCGGACGGGUGAGUAAUGCAUCGGAACGUGUCCUUAAGUGGGGGAUAACGCAUCGAAAGAUGUGCUAAUACCGCAUAAUCUCUGAGGAGAAAAGCAGGGGAUCGCAAGACCUUGCGCUUUUGGAGCGGCCGAUGCCUGAUUAGCUAGUUGGUGAGGUAAUGGCUCACCAAGGCGUCGAUCAGUAGUUGGUCUGAGAGGACGACCAGCCACACUGGGACUGAGACACGGCCCAGACUCCUACGGGAGGCAGCAGUGGGGAAUUUUGGACAAUGGGCGCAAGCCUGAUCCAGCCAUGCCGCGUGAGUGAAGAAGGCCUUCGGGUUGUAAAGCUCUUUCAGUCGAGAAGAAAAGGUCACGGCUAAUAAUCGUGAUCCAUGACGGUAUCGACAGAAGAAGCACCGCUAACUA
RNAcentral lists this ribosomal RNA (481 nucleotides) under uncultured bacterium. RNAcentral's name for it is "bacterial SSU rRNA". It matches the Rfam family "Bacterial small subunit ribosomal RNA", at positions 30 to 503 of the family's 1533-position model. The record is from RNAcentral.